RNAcentral lists this ribosomal RNA (447 nucleotides) under uncultured bacterium. Its description in RNAcentral is "bacterial SSU rRNA". It matches the Rfam family "Bacterial small subunit ribosomal RNA", at positions 328 to 792 of the family's 1533-position model. The record is from RNAcentral.
UCGCCAGACUCCUACGGGAGGCAGCAGUGGGGGAUAUUGCACAAUGGGGGAAACCCUGAUGCAGCGACGCCGCGUGGGUGAAGAAGCGCCUCGGCGCGUAAAGCCCUGUCAGCAGGGAAGAAAAUGACGGUACCUGAAGAAGAAGCCCCGGCUAACUACGUACCAGCAGCCGCGGUAAUACGUAGGGGGCAAGCGUUAUCCGGAUUUACUGGGUGUACAGGGGGCGCAGACGGCGAUGCAAGCCAGGAGUGAAAACCCAGGGCCCAACCCUGGGACUGCAUUGGAAACUGUAUUGCUUGAGUACCGGAGAGGCAGGCGGAAUUCCUAGUGUAGCGGUGAAAUGCGUAGAUAUUAGGAGGAACACCAGUGGCGAAGGCGGCCUGCUGGGCUUUUACUGACGCUGAGGCUCGAAAGUGUGGGGAGCAAACAGGAUUAGAUACCCGCGUA